Molecule: ribosomal RNA, 505 nt
Filed under: uncultured bacterium
Lineage: Bacteria
Description: partial 16S ribosomal RNA
Rfam family: Bacterial small subunit ribosomal RNA
Source: RNAcentral
GACGAACGCUGGCGGCGUGCCUAAUACAUGCAAGUAGAACGCACAGUUUAUACCGUAGCUUGCUACACCAUAGACUGUGAGUUGCGAACGGGUGAGUAACGCGUAGGUAACCUGCCUGGUAGCGGGGGAUAACUAUUGGAAACGAUAGCUAAUACCGCAUAAUAUUAAUUAUUGCAUGAUAAUUAAUUGAAAGGUGCAAUUGCACCACUACCAGAUGGACCUGCGUUGUAUUAGCUAGUAGGUGAGGUAACGGCUCACCUAGGCGACGAUACAUAGCCGACCUGAGAGGGUGAACGGCCACACUGGGAAUGAGACACGGCCCAGAAUCCUACGGGAGGCAGCAGUAGGGAAUCUUCGGCAAUGGACGAAAGUCUGACCGAGCAACGCCGCGUGAGUGAAGAAGGUUGUCGGAUCGUAAAGCUCUGUUGUAAGAGAAGAACGGGUGUGAGAGUGGAAAGUUCACACUGUGACGGUAUCUUACCAGAAAGGGACGGCUAACUACGUG